UCUGGCGAUGACGACCACCUUGCCCUCACUGAGAACCCUGUUCGCUGCUGAGAGCGUCACCGUGUACUCAGGUGAGCUGAGCCAGC
Molecule: small nucleolar RNA, 86 nt
Filed under: Tinamus guttatus (white-throated tinamou)
Lineage: Eukaryota; Metazoa; Chordata; Aves; Tinamiformes; Tinamidae
Description: Small nucleolar RNA SNORD103/SNORD85
Rfam family: Small nucleolar RNA SNORD103/SNORD85
About the family: This family includes the snoRNAs SNORD103 (U103) and SNORD85 (HBII-251) . The members of this family belong to the C/D class of snoRNAs which contain the C (UGAUGA) and D (CUGA) box motifs.
Source: Rfam by way of RNAcentral